GCUGGAGCGCAUCCGGAGCCGCCGGUGGUGGUGUCGCGCUGCCGGCUUUAAGGAAUUCAUCGGGGCUCUCCGCUGCCCGUGAAAAUGUCUGUGCGUCCUCCUCCUCCUCUUCCCAGCCCAGUGCCUCACCAGGUACAGCGUCCGCAGCCCGCUGCUCUGUUGGCAGAAGUCGGCUUCUGGUUGUGUUUGUUUGUUUCCUCAGAAACUUUCGUCCUUGCGCGAUUUGGGUCUCAGCUGGGGUCAGUCAUCCAUCCAGCUGACGAAACCUAAAGGACGUGAAAUUUAACAGGACCCUGAACAUCAGCAUUGGAACAGGAGGUCCAAAUGCUGUUCCUAAUCAAAGGCAAGAUGCGGCUGCUUGCAAGCACGGGUAGUUACACGCUGCACAGGCGCUGUGCACGGCACUGCAUGCACGGUCCUUCCUCCACUUUCCCUGCAGUGGAAGUUCAGAGAUGUAGAAGAAGACUCAACAAGUGAUGGAGAGGUGUGUUCAGAGUCGUGGGGCUUUCACUUUAAAGACAGUACCGGUUUAGAGUUGUGUGACAAAUAAUAACAGUACAUAAAAACAAAAUAUUUGGCAACACUCCAUCUUGAAAGCUUGAUAGGGAAAAAAAAAAGUAAACCAACACUGCUUCCGAGGAGUGUCCUAAUGAGUAUAGCAGGAACCAGUUACCCGUUUACACUUUAUGGAAAUGGUUAUUUACACUAUGUCUAAAGCUACUAAAGCUAGGCCUUUUAAAACUGCUAUUGGUGAGAUGGAACCUGAAGUCUCUGGCUGUUUUUUUUAAAGAAAUCAAGUUAUGACCUCUGGGCAAAAGGCUUGUACCAGCUUAUAUGGUAUCCUAUCUCCUCAUUGAAAAGGGAUUCACAUGGAAAAGAAGGCUAAGUUCCAGGUAUGUGGCAGUAAGCCUACUCUUUUCAAAAACGGUCCGUUGCCUGUAAGAUGUCAUGAUUAACUUCAUUUGCACCAUUCUUUUCAAGUACUGGAUAAAGGCAUACAAGUCCAGAAUACACAGGUCCUGUCUGAAAGAUGUGAGCUGUGCUUCAUGUCAGGAAUAGCUCUCUUCCCUUAUGGACUCCCAAGUAAAACACCUGCAGGUGUGGUGAGCUGGAACUUGGAAAAGCCAAAGCUGCAAAACCGAAAGGCGCACACGUAGGUGCUGAAGAGCCUUCCAUGUAGGAAGAUUAGCAAGCAUAGAUGGAAUAGAAGAACAAGUGUUUUUCAAUUCAGCAUCUGCUCUAGAAAUGUGAAAAUGUAAAGCUCGCAUUGGAAAAAAAUUAGGAUUUUAGUACUUGGAGAAAAUAUGUAGAUAAUUUUUAAAUUGCAUUUGUGUUUUUAACAUCCCUGUUCUUUCAGAAAGAUGUAAUGAGGGGUGAACCAGUACAUACCGUGUUACAUUAAUGCUAGAAAUUAAAAAAAUAAACAAACACACAAACCCCCUAACAAUGCAAAAGGGUAAUGUAAUAACAAAAAAACCUGGUUAACUACCAGGGUUUAUGAAAUAGUAAAAAGUGAUAUGUCUUUUAAUAGUUUAGGAAUUAAUUAUAAUUCUGAGCUAUUGCAAGGCAACAGAAAUUAAAACAACUCAGUUUUCCAACUUUCUGUCAUUUGAACUUUUAUAAUGCAUCAGGGAGGUAGAAAAACUAUUGUGGUCUAAUAUUGAAUGUGAAAUUUGGGGCAAAUGGGGGUUUUUAUUAUUAUUUAUUGGAGUGAAAGAGAAGGUAGAGAUACUUUUUGUAUAAUAAAACCCACUGUUAUGAAUGACUCUC
Lepidothrix coronata (blue-crowned manakin) is the source of this 1770-nucleotide long non-coding RNA. RefSeq lists it as uncharacterized. The transcript has 2 exons. The record is from RefSeq and is a predicted model, not a curated record. Lineage: Eukaryota; Metazoa; Chordata; Aves; Passeriformes; Pipridae.